Non-coding RNA from Pelobates cultripes (western spadefoot toad), 3121 nucleotides. The record is from the annotation of a GenBank genome assembly. NCBI's taxonomy places the organism in Eukaryota, Metazoa, Chordata, Amphibia, Anura, Pelobatidae.
CAAGAUACAACGUGAAUUCUAGAAGCAAGCACGUGGCAGAGAUUGGCACGCGUCCAGAAUCAAGCGUCCAGAACUGCGCAGCUGUGUGGAUGAAGCAACGAAAUAGACAGAGAUAACUGAUCUGGUGAGUAACAUGGAAUUCAUAAAUGAUAUUGCAGAGAAAAGUAAAUUGCAGUUUGCAUUUAAUAGCAGCUAUUCAGAUGCUGUAUUGUGGCAAUCUUUAUACACACAAUGUGAAAUUGCCAAUAGUGAAAUUGACAAGAAAUUGUUUGUUAAUAAGAAAAAAAAAAAGAUCAGAAAUGUUAUGAAACUAGUCUGUACUUACAAAGCAUUGAUUUGUAAACAAGAUGCAGGUCAAGACAAUUUAGAAUUAGCAGAUAAAGAAAAAGAUUUGUAUGGGUUAACAGAAGACAAAUCAGAUUUAAAUGAACAGUGUAACAAAGUAACAGAGAGCACAUGCUGUAAACAGUUAGAAACAGUCUGUGAACUAGAGGGUAGAGUUGAAUUAAGAAAUGAUCUUAUUUGACAUCUUAGAAAUGAAGUAAAGCUAGUGUGUGUUAAUACAAGAAAAAUACAGGCACAGAAUCUAAUCCCAGAACCAAUUGAUACUGAAAAUGUAACCUCACAGAGUGAUUUGCAGAAAUGUAAAUUUCAAGACAGAGCUGCAAAACUUAAUUUGAAAAUCCAUGAACAAUUAAUGAAAAUUGUGAAAUGUAUUCCAGUUUAUGACCCGUCAAUGGAUGCAUUUACUAAUGCUCAAAUGUUUGAGUCAAAUUUAGACAAAUAUAGCCUAAAUGACGAACAAAGGAAUAGACUAUUUCAAAUAUGGCUGCCGACUCAAAUGGCAUGUAGUUUUCUUGUAAAAUUUGAAAGUGCAUAUAGACUUGUUGCUAAUUUUUCUGAGGAUCAGUUAAUUAAUGAAUUUGUGAAAAAAUUUCAAGAUCUAGAUCCAACUGCAAUUGUGUUAGCUAGAGAAAAAAGCACUUUGACAGAAGUAGCUUUGUUCUUGGAUAACUUAAGGAGGGAAACCAAUAAUGAAGGGGUUAAAAUGACUUGUGGAUUUAGGCAGAGGAAGAAGUGCAGAUUUUACAGCCCUCCUCCUUCUUCUUCUUCUAGGACAGAGUGUAGAGUGAUACAGACAGCUGAGCCCCUCCCAAUUUGUUCAAAUCAAAGGCAGAAUAUAACUCCUAAAGUUAUUUGUUUUUGGUGCAAUAAACAACAUUAUUUAAGAUCUUGCAGAUAUUUUAUCCGAGAUAUCAAAUCAAAAGCAAAUGAAAAAUUAAAUAUGUUGAUUGAAAAUUUUGAUAGAGAAAAUACAUGUGGAGAUAAAUCAAUAAAGGCCUUUCCUUGCAAACUGAUAGUCAGACAAAUAAAAGCAAUUUUAGCUAAAUCGAAAUUAAGAGACAGACAAGCAAUGCAGUGUAACACAGAAAGUUAUAAGAAUCAGAUAACUUCAAGAGAUAUGAUCAGUUUAGGGAAUGAGCAUGGAUAUGUCUGCCAACAGAUGUGCACAGGCUGAUUCCAGAAUUAAAAACAGCACAAGAAUAGAGAUCUAUGUUAGUUUGUUGUUUUAAUGAAUUGUUAGUCUGAACUGUUUUUUCAUUGUUUUAUGUGUGUUAUAAGAAAGUAUUAGGUUAAUUAAUGGAAAUAAAAAUUUACAUCAAGUUUGCAAAUAUGACAGAAUGAAAUACACUAAUGUAGCAGUUAGGAACAUGCAAUGUUAUAUUGGGUGUAUGCGAUUAUACAGUAACUCCAAUCAUUUUACAGAAGGAAAAAACAAUGUUGUUACUUCUGAGGUUGAUUUAAAAUCUUUGAUUUAAUUCAUGAGAAUGAGAUUUUAAUGUCAUGACUGAUAUUUUGCAAAGCCUGGACAUACAUAUAUUUUGACUACAUAGAAGACACAAGUUUUGAUAGAAUAAAACCUAGAUUUACAAAUACAUUUGAUGAAGGAAACAAUAUAUGUUUUUGUAGUUUGUUUCAUGUGACAAAAUGGUGCCAGUGUUAAGACAAAAUGGCUAGUAUAGCUAAAGUAUAGUGGAAAACAAUAUUUUGUUGUAACAUCUGAUAUGUGAUUAGGUUAUACCUCCAGAUUAUUAAACAGUUUAAAAGGGGGGUAUGAUUAAUAAGGUAUGAGUAAUAAAAAGUUUGGAAAAUUAAAAUGUUCAGAAAGAUUAUACAUCACAUGGCAUAAAUGUAAUGACCACUAGAUGGUAGAUCUCAUGAGAAGAAAUUAGUAUGUUUUGUCUAGUCAAUAUAAUUCAAUGUUAAACUGUGUAAUAAUAAUGAGAUAUAAACAUUGUAAGCCAUUGUAUUGAUGCUGAACAUGUUAUUUGUUUUAAUGUAGGUAAAGCGUGACAGAUCCUUGUGGCAAUAAAUCAGGAAAGCAUUCCUUCAGACAACUGGACAUCGACUGUUGGAAAGAGACUUUUCAUCUGAUCUGCAAACUGUGAUGGAAGAUUCUACAGAGUUCAUUCGAUACAGAAGAUUAACAGACUUACAAAGAAAUAAAAGAUUGACACUAACAUAAAUAUUAAUUUCUAAAUAUUAACGAAGAAAACAGACAAUGAAAAGUUAUUUAACAGUUAUAAGUAUUAAUACCAAAAGAGAGUACUUAUAACAAUAUAACACAUGGAGUACAAUUAUGAUAGGAUAGUAUUAUGAAAAUAACUAUUACAUUAUUACCUAUACAUAGAAUGAGAAGUAUCAGACGUAGAUAAAAUAUGAAGUUGAUAAAAUUACUUAAUUCUACAAAGAUUGAGUUCAAUAGGAUUUCAUAGAUAAAUUAUAAUAAUUAAUUUGUUUAUAUCGAGGUGAAGUAAAACAAACAAUGGUAACAUAAGGAAGAAAACUAGGGAAGGAUAAUUUAUAUUGAUUUAUAUUAAGUAAUUAUAUACAUUAAGAAUGCCUUGGAUAUAAGAGUUCAGAGAUCCAAGAGGAAUUGAAUUGAAUUGAAUGAGUAUAGUACACAAUUAUAUUUGACCAAAGUCUAUAAAGGUAUGGGCUAGGGAGAAUAGGUUUCUGGAUAUGAUGGUAUCCAAUGAAUACGUUGUUAAGUUGUUUUAUGAUUUCCCUGAGUUUGUUAGACACAGACUAGGAAUAAGAGUUUCUGGGCAGUAUGACC